GUGAGGAAUUUUCCGCAAUGGGCGAAAGCCUGACGGAGCAAUGCCGCGUGAAGGAUGAAGGCCUAUGGGUUGUAAACUUCUUUUCUUAGAGAAGAAUAUUGACGGUAUCUGAGGAAUAAGCAUCGGCUAACUCUGUGCCAGCAGCCGCGGUAAGACAGAGGAUGCAAGCGUUAUCCGGAAUGAUUGGGCGUAAAGCGUCUGUAGGUGGCUUCAAAAGUCUCCUGUCAAAGAUCAGGGCUUAACCCUGGGCCGGCAGGAGAAACUCAGAGGCUAGAGUUUGGUAGGGGCAGAAGGAAUUCCCGGUGGAGCAGUGAAAUGCGGAGAGAUCGGGAGGAACACCAAAGGCGAAAGCACUCUGCUGGGCCACAACUGACACUGAGAGACGAAAGCGAGGGGAGCAAAAGGGAUUAGAAACCCCUGUAGUCC
This 426-nucleotide ribosomal RNA is filed under the name uncultured bacterium. RNAcentral describes it as "partial 16S ribosomal RNA". It matches the Rfam family "Bacterial small subunit ribosomal RNA", at positions 354 to 796 of the family's 1533-position model. The record is from RNAcentral.